UACGUAUGGAGCAAGCGUUAUCCGGAUUUACUGGGUGUAAAGGGAGUGUAGGUGGCCAGGCAAGUCAGAAGUGAAAGCCCGGGGCUCAACCCCGGGACUGCUUUUGAAACUGCAGGGCUGGAGUGCAGGAGGGGCAAGUGGAAUUCCUAGUGUAGCGGUGAAAUGCGUAGAUAUUAGGAGGAACACCAGUGGCGAAGGCGGCUUGCUGGACUGUAACUGACACUGAGGCUCGAAAGCGUGGGGAGCAAACAGG
RNAcentral lists this ribosomal RNA (253 nucleotides) under [Lactobacillus] rogosae. RNAcentral describes it as "Lactobacillus rogosae partial 16S ribosomal RNA". It matches the Rfam family "Bacterial small subunit ribosomal RNA", at positions 524 to 776 of the family's 1533-position model. The record is from RNAcentral. Lineage: Bacteria; Bacillati; Bacillota; Clostridia; Lachnospirales; Lachnospiraceae.